This 585-nucleotide long non-coding RNA is filed under the name Heterocephalus glaber (naked mole-rat). RNAcentral describes it as "lncRNA (ENSHGLG00100051803.1)". The record is from RNAcentral. Lineage: Eukaryota; Metazoa; Chordata; Mammalia; Rodentia; Bathyergidae.
GGGCAAGGUAUGGUGGAAGGAGCGUAGACCUCCCAUGUCCUCACCAGGUCCACCACUAGCAACCUCCACGUUUAGCUUUUGGAAGCUUCCCAACCCAGUCCAUUUAGUUUUUUAUGGAGGCCUCAUUACACAGGUAUAACCAACUAAAUCGUUGGCCACUGGUGAUCAGCUCCACUUUCAGCCCUGGUCUGUGCCCAGAUCAUGCCUUGGUCUUUCUGGUGGCCCAUCCCAUACUGUCCUGAGGCUUUCUAACCCUCAGCCACCAGUCAUCUCAUUUGAAGACACUUGGGACUCUGGCGAUUCCAAGGUGCUCUGUGUCUGGAACCAGAGAAUAAUCAUUUUCCAUGAAUUCCUAUAUGGAUUUUUAAAAGAACACAACAGUACUGAACUAUCUGAAGUACUCAUUCCUGAAAAUCAUGAACAUGGACACAAAUUCUACCUCUAUCAACUUUUAUUUAAAUCAGUGGAUAUUUAUGUAAUGUGUUUUGGUUUAAAAGAAUUGUAUCUAGUUAUUGAUGAUACCUGCACGUUGGAGUUGCCUGAAGAAUUUAAUGAAGUCUUAUGUGCAACCCCCAGACACCGGAC